Molecule: ribosomal RNA, 455 nt
Filed under: soil fungal sp. DM2-335
Lineage: Eukaryota; Fungi
Description: eukaryotic LSU rRNA
Rfam family: Eukaryotic large subunit ribosomal RNA
Source: RNAcentral
CGGCAGAGCUCGAUUUGAAAGCUGGCUCCUUCGGGGUCCGCAUUGUAAUUUGCAGAGGAUGCUUCGGGAGCGGCCCCCAUCUAACUGCCCUGGAACGGGCCGUCAUAAAGGGUGAAAAUCCCGUCUGGGAUGGGGUGUCCGCGCCCGUGUGAAGCUCCUUCGACGAGUCGAGUUGUUUGGGAAUGCAGCUCUAAAUGGGUGGUAAAUUUCAUCUAAAGCUAAAUAUUGGCCGGAGACCGAUGGCGCACAAGUAGAGUGAUCGAAAGAUGAAAAGCACUUUGAAAAGAGAGUUAAACAGCCCGUGAAAUUGUUGAAAGGGAAGCGCUUGCGACCAGACUCGCCCACGGGGUUCACCCCGUAUUCGUGCCGGUGUACUUCCCCCCGGGCGGGCCCCCGUCCGUUUGGGCGGACGGUCAAAGGCCCUCNGAAUGUAACGCCCCCCGGGGCGUCUUAUA